Molecule: long non-coding RNA, 7427 nt
Organism: Motacilla alba alba
Lineage: Eukaryota; Metazoa; Chordata; Aves; Passeriformes; Motacillidae
Exons: 3
Source: RefSeq, a predicted model, not a curated record
GGGAGGUCACUGCCUGGGGGUAGCAGUGAGGAAGGGCUGGAGGGUUCAAAGUGCACGAGAGGAGCUGAGUGAGCAGCCUUGCAUCUGCUGAUAUAGGCUGGGCACAGCCAGCAAGCAGGGAAAGCAGUCCCAGCUGAUGGAGGGGUGUGUGGGAGGCCAGCAGGGAUGGGAUUAAAGGAGGAUUAUCCACAGUCCAGUUGUGGCAGAGGCAGGCUCUGGGAGAUGCAUCUGCAGUGCAGGCUUUGAAGGAUCAGCUCUUCCAUGAAGCAGAGGAACUUGAGAGGUUUCUAUAAAAGCUCUUCUAAAACCAACAUUAGCUAAUCCCACAUCUCCUGAGAGCGCAGCCAAUGACACAAUUAUGCUCUUUGGUGAGUAGCUGGGCCGGCACUUGCAAUGGCUCUUUUCCAUGCAAAAUUAUGCAAGAGCAGUGUGCUGUUUUCUUGGUGACACUCUGCCUAUCCAACAAACAGGAGCAUCUUCAGCCAUCCACUCUGGAACAGCACUGCUGCCUGAAGAGCCAUGAAAAUCAAAUCCCCUAUUAUCCAAAAAAAUUGGAUGACAGUAUUACAUAUGAGCCUCGCAAUGUUGGUGCGGAGCUCCCGUUGCCAAUGACAGUUGCCAAAAGACCAAAAGACCUACUUUUUUUUUUUGAAAGAAAAAGUAGUAAAAGGCAAGAAUGCUGGCGGUUCCUGGCUUGAUGAAAGUCAUUUGUGCUCCUCUCACAGCUAGCAGUAGCCUUGUACAAAGCAUAGCUGAAUAAUGGAAUUACUCCACUUUCUGAGAUUGCUCAAUUAACUCUUGGUUAAAACUGCUACCAUUGAAACUUGAUGAGAAUAGCAGCUCUGAGGCAGUUUUAGAUUCAUUUCUUACUAAGCUAGAAUGGCUUUUCCCUAUAAUGAACACCCUUUCCGGGGUAUAAAGAAUGCCCUUUAUAUUAGCUAUGGUGCCUUCCCAGUAAUAGAUGCCUACAACACAAAUGCAUGGGAGGGUUCUCUGAAUACAAAUGUCACUUAUGGACCACUCUCACACCUUGAAGCUGGGAAUGCCACAAGACUGCUCUCUUUGCUUUAUCCAAAUUAUCUGUGGUGCAGUGGAAAACUGUUUUAAGUUCUCAAUGCUGACGCUGGGCUCCUGAAGGCAUUUGGCUUGAUUAGGAAUUAAUUGCUUAAAGCCUGAUGUACUGGUUUGCACACGGGGAUUUAGCUUGCUAGAAAAACCUCAGCCAUUUGCCUGAGUUUCUUUGAAAUUAUCAACGCCACUUUGCAGCCCUGUUAAAUGAAAUUGCUGACUACAUCUGGCAGCACAGCGUCAGGCCAGACGUCGCAGCGCUGGACGGCACAAGCGGCCACAGAGCCUUUGGGACCCUUUGGCUCUCAGCUGUGCGGGUGGAAAAGGCCCCUUGCCCAGCCUGGAGCUUCUCACCCUCAUCUGUGGUUCAUAUGGAAGGGAUAAAGUCAAUACCUGCCCGUCCUACCGUCCUCCCUCCUGUCUUGAUUGGAAUGGCAAAGGAGGCAUCCUUGGACUGAAGUGUUGGUGUUGCAGAGGACGCAGUCACUGCGGGCUGUGCCUCUUCAUUAAAGGUUAAUAUGACUGCAGUCUGCUGUUUUUCAUGCUAAUUGGUGACAACCUUCAGAAGUGCCCCUCUGUGCCAAAACAGUGUCUUCAGCUGCUGUGGGCCAGGGAUGAAAGCUUAGACCUGCAUGCAUGUGCUGGGGCACACAGGAUGGGGAGGCACAACUUCAGCAGGCUCCCUCAGUCUCAGCUCCACUGUUCUCCACAAUUUUCUCAGGACUACCACAUUUUUGAGCCCAGGGCAGAGGACUUUACUUUCAGCAUCACACACAGAGGACGACCUCCAUCCAGAAAUGGCCUUCCUAGAUCAAGACAUCCCUUUUUUUCAUGGGCCCCAAAGAAGCCCCAGGAGUGCUGCUCACUCAGAGUGGGCUCACAACCUCAUAUACGUCCCCUUCUAGGAACGUCUCCAGUCCUCGGGGCUGCCUGGCACUGCCACAGACCUCCCACUCGUGCUGGGUGUCAACAUCAAAGUAACAGCAAUGUUAAAAACCUUCCCUGAAUGCACAACCCCUUCACCUUUGUGGGGAAGACAAUGGGAAAGAGUUUGCAGUCCUUGCAUCUCCAGAAGCUGUGCAGUUUGGGAAUCCCAGUCCUGCUUUCCACAGAUCUGUGUCAGAUCCAGUUUGUCUUCCCAAGGAGCCACCAGGUCACCAAGAUCUCGGCUCUCAGAGGCAGCUAUGAUGCCAAAGGCCCAGCUCCCACUCUGCAGAGCCACAGGGAAGGGAUAAGGAUGGAUCACUAAUGCACAGUGCUGUCCUCAACUACCAGGUCUCACGAGAGCAAUGACCACCUGGGCUGGCAAGCCUUACAUCUGGGAAUGCAUUAGGAUGCUCCCAAGCAAGGGUACAGCCCAGCCACCUCAGGCCAGAGCAGCAGCCACCUGAGACCUGAGUUUUCUCCAGCCCAUGGUAAUUCUUGGUGGGUGAAUGAGCUCAGAGACAGGCUGGGGCUGGGACGGGGCAGAGGAGAGGGGAGAUACCUCAGAGCCAGUGUCCAAGCCGGGCAGUCCACAUUCCUGAGACGUGCAGUCUGAUAUGCCACUGGCUCCAAAAGCACAGCUUAUGACAAGACACAUAAUAUUAAUGUCAUCCAGAGUCUGGCUAGGAGGAGAAUGGAAAGAAUUCCUGAAUGAACGCAGACAGCCCCUGUGCUGACGGGAAAGUCUCCAGCCCCACACAUCAGGCCAGCACUGCCUGUUAUCAGACUGCCUUUCCCACUGGAAGGAGGAAACAGGAAUGAAAGGCACUUUUCCUCACCAUUAAAAGUUUAUGCAAGUGAUUUAUGGGUCAGAAAAAUUAGCAAGUGCGUUGCUGAGUGCUCCAUACAGCAGCAUGUGUUACGUGGCUGCUGACCAGAAAUGCCAAGACCCAUUAGGUGGAAGCAAAGGGCAGCAUGAUGGAAAGUUAAAGAUGCUUUUUGCCGAUUUAAUUAAUUAGCCAGGUCUUUUCUCCAUCCCCUGCAGCCUUCAUUAAUGUAAUGUUGAAGUGAAGAAAUAUUAACAAUUCAGACAACACAUUAAUAUUAACACAACACCUGCAAAAUGCAAGUGUAAGUCCAUUAGGUAAACAUGAUCUUAAGCCAUUGAGGCAGAAAUAAUAUUCUGACAUUUCCUUGCACAAGUAUCCUGCAGAGAUACUGUCCAUCAUUUAUGCUCCCUUAUAAGCCAUGGCCCCUGGCACAUGGGGGGCUCUUCAUCUGUUACUAGUCCCUGAAAUGAUGAGAAAAACUUACAUUUCUAUUAAGAUAUUUACCCGUUCCAUAUGGAAAGUGUCUUACUAAAGCCAUGUUGUGAACCAGAAAGAUCAGAAGGGAUUUUUAAAAGGAUUUUAUCUCUGUGCCAGCAAGGGAUGGAGAUAAAACCUGAACCUGAUAGCUUGUAAAUAUUAACCUACACUUGGGAAUGCUCCAGAACAUCAGCUUUCUAUUAUGGUGGUUUCAUCUGAGACAAGUUUUCAUUAAGGGAGGAACAAACAGUUAAUCACCCAGAGAACUGAUAGCACCACAGGGAGUCACAGACUGCUAGAACCAGCCUUCCUGUUUCACAUUCCCCAUCAGCUACUGUUCUCCCAGACAUUCCUGCUGAGAAGAUAUUCACAUCCUGUGUGUGUUACACCCUUCAGCCUUUGGACUUGCUUUCUCCUAGUCUACCUGGCAUUAAAGAGUUGAUUACUUCCAAAGCAGGAGAUAAUCUGAUGGUCAAGGGGGAAAUAAAGAAUACUGGAUGAACAUUCCAGACUAGAAGCAUACUCUGAGAUGGUCAAUGACUGGGAGAGCAUACAUCCACCAACCAGGAUGUGACCCAGGGACAAACAAGAAAGAGCCUGCAGAAACUCAUUAAGAGAUGAACAACAAAAGAUAACAAAAAAAGAGAUUAAAACACCAAAACCAUGGAAAGUAACCUCCAUAAUCUGGCAGCCAAAGGCAGCGGUGGCACAACAACUCAGCAUACAUCCUUGAUGUUCAUGAAGUGGAAGUCAGGCAGUGACUUGCUAAGUAAUGCCCUCUUCUGGUGCAAGUCUCUGAUCCAAGCAAUGCAGAGUGACUUCAAAUUUGGAUUAGGCUGGCCUUUCCCCGUUGGGUUCUAGCAAUCCCCACCUUCAACUUUCUCACAGCCUCUCUGGGUGCUUGUUCCAGUUCUUAACCAUGCUCACAAGUGUUGUUUGGGCUCAUGGGAAGAGACCUCCAGGAGAAGCAAUCACCCAGACUGGCCAGCCUUCAGCAAGGGCCUUGCCAGAGGAGGACUGCUCAAGAGAAACUGGCUGCAGAUCAAGGGAAUCAGAAUGACCUCUGGGACCACUGAUUCUGAGAAGAUCUGUGUCAGAAAAACACAUGUAACUUAGCAAAUUCCCAAGGUCCCCAGCAGACAAAACCCAAAGGUAGCUGCUCCCUGGCCAUGGGAUGCUCUGCUGGGGGUGCUGCUUUCCAGGCAGGGCCAUGGGUCAGGGCUCACAGCACUGCCCAGCAUUGCUCUGGUUCAACCUCAGAUUUGCAGUUGUAGCACUGAGUGUGGGCAGGUUAAGGGGAACAGUUGUAUCAAUACAGAGCGAGGGAUCCAGCUGGCUCUGGCUGUAUUAUUCUUGGUCUGAAAUUAUUGCAAAGCAAUCGUGAACCUUCUAGUUACCAGGACUUUCAAAGACAUGGAAACCCAAGGGGGAGGGAAGCAAGGUGCGGGGAACACUGACAGCAGAUGGGGGUUAAAACAACCAAUAAAAGUUGGCAGGGAAAUGAAAGGGAAAUGGGCAACAGAGAAUUUGGGGGUGAUGUUUUCUAAAUAUGCUACUGAAAUACUCUGGAUAACUUCUGCUUUCAAGCAGCCUCUUGGCAGAUUACAAUGUCCCAGAAGGUUUUAUAUCCAGCUCCUACGAUCUUAAACUAAAUAUUAGGUGAGAAAAACAUGCUUCUAAGGAAAAGUCAAACAUAGCCCUGAGUGAAAAACAAUGAUCAGGAGAACGAACAUAUUGGGUUUGUUGAAUAUACGACCAACAUCCGUUUUCUUGCCCAAAAAAUAAAGCCAAGGGAAUAAAACGCAGAGAUGAGCAGAAUGGAAAAGCUGCAGGAAAUUUAGGCAGUCUCCCCCCACCCCACAUAUUUCCCCAGGCAGGACUCUCACCCUGCCUGGCCUCAGCCAGCAGGCUUGGAGCUUUGCCUUGAAUUCCUAAGAGAGCCUUACCCCCUCUGCAGCAGGAUGGGCUCAAGGUACAAUGGGUCUUUUCCAUCUGUAACUUCUCUCCCUUGACUUUUAUGUGCAUCGAUUCAAAAGCUAUUUGAUUUACUGAUGCAGGGGCUGUGAAGAGUCUAGUUUGGUCUAAGGACAGCCUGAGGUUAAAGGCAGCAGUGCAAUUUCACCACCCUGUCCAUUACAAGAAAAUGUUCAGAUCUGGAUUUACAGUCAUGUUCCAGUGAGCCCACACAUCAUGGCAGGCUGAAAUUAGCCUCAUUUUCACAAUAGGGUUGAGUAAAAAUGGAUAAACAUCCCACUGGAGGUGGACACCCCAUGGAGAAAGCCAUGGGAGCGGGUCCUGAACAGCACCUUGGAGGGCAUGUGGCUGUGGGUGACAGAGAGCUCUUUGUCUCCAGAUGGAGCUACUGCCAGCCAGAUGGCAGGUGAGGAUAGAUGAGGCAGUUUCAAUGAGACCAUAACAGGUGAGGAUGAGUGGCAUGGGACCUAUCACUGUAAGCAAGGGAGAAUCGUAUCCUUCAGGUCCAGAGAUGGAUAUGAUGACUCUCCAGAGCUGCACUGUAAGAAAGGACUUUGUAAUAUGUCCUAGUCCCUCUACUGUCUGCAAAGCCUCAAAUGCUGCUGGGUAAAUUUAGCAAAUACCUCCAUCCCUGACUGUCACAGUCAUAACCUGGUUACUCCAGCUAGUUCCUCCAUUGACUUUUAUGGAUCCCUCAGCUCCAUCUAAGACCAGAGAAACCAAAGCUAGAUCCAUGAUGAUUUCCUGGAACUGCUCCUUUGGGCCAGGGUUUUACUAGACGAAAGGAAGCUUGGUUAAAAUUAAGACCUAGGUGCAAUGAAGAAGAACUCUUGCAACGUUAUCUUCCAGCUCUUCCAGAGUUCAGCAGCACAGAUAAACCUCCUGAAAAAAACCACCAUGACAAGAAAGCAGACACACAGAUCUGUCAGCACAUUUGUGCUCCUGAAACUGACAGAUCUCAGCACUGGAUCAUGGUAAGAUUUGCAACACUGUCAUCUUGCAAAGCCUUGGCAGUGCCUUUUAAUCCUUGGAAAAGGAGCACUCCAGGCAUCAGUUCUUGACUUUGCAUUAGAAUGUUGCAAAGCCAAAACAACAACGUCUCUUGGAGCAUAGGGCAUAUCCUAAGAUGCCCUGGAGCUUUCUUGUCCUACAGACAUUGAGUAGCAAUCUCCAAAUGACAAAACAGAAAUAAAACUAUAUAUCCUCACGCUUUGGUGAGCCUCCAAUCCAAGCCUGACAGAUACCUGGCUAAGACUACUGUGUCUCUCAGACUGCUUAACCCUUGAAUAAACAGGGGAAAUGUACAUUUAGAAGAAGCCCGGGUUUAUCCCUUUCUCUUCCAAUGAGCCCUAUUAACUCUUGGGGAAAAAUCAGUUUUCCCCUUUGAGACGUGUACCCUGUCUGUCACCAGCAGGCUUGGUGUUGUGUAGUAACCUCUCAGCAGGACAACCCCAAAUUCUUCAGUGACCCCAGGCCUGGAGCCAGGAAUUGACCUGCUGGUUCUUACUCUUUCUUCCCUUAUCACUUCCUGUAACUGGAAGAAUAGGGAUGAUAUUGCCUGUUCUCCUGAUCCCCAUUUCAAACCACUGAAGUAUCUCUUGAAUGCCCUUGGACUUCUUGUUGCAACAUCAUUGCUGCCCAUGUGAAAAAUCAAUAAUGGGUCAUAUCUGAGGGCCAUACCAGGGUGGGAAGUCUUCACUUUUAUAACUUGGCCCCAGGGAGGUAGCAGACUUCCCUAAGGACUGGGUCUGAUCUAUCCAUUGGGCCUUUGGCUCUCUACCAAGGGUGACUCAGUGUAACAUCCAAGUAAAAGCUUUGGAAGCUUCCUCCAGCUGAUCAACCUGUUGAAUCUGGACAGCUGAGAAGGAUGGUGAAGCUCCAUCAGAUACCCUUCCCUGACCAGUUUCAGCAGGGGACAAACCCACUCAGAACCACUGCCUGCAGCAGCAACAUGACCGUGCCAAGAGUUGUUAAGAAAGGGGACACACAAUAGUUAAAACAGACAAUCCAAGUACCUGGAAAAGGGCAGGGAUUACAAGAAUCUGGUAACUCACCACAGGGGACACAACAGCUUCUGUUACUGCCCACACUUCAUGUGCUCACUUACUGCUGCCUGGACAUGACAGACACCAGCAGCUUCUGUGGAUGCUUGUA